CCCGUCACAUCACGAAAGUGGAUUGUACUAGAAGUCUGCACGCUACCGCAGGAGGGCAGCGGCCCAAGGUAUGAUCAUGAUUGGGGUG
Molecule: ribosomal RNA, 88 nt
Filed under: uncultured bacterium
Lineage: Bacteria
Description: partial 16S ribosomal RNA
Source: RNAcentral